CAUGCAAGUCGAGCGGCAGCGGGAAAGUAGCUUGCUACUUUUGCCGGCGAGCGGCGGACGGGUGAGUAAUGCCUGGGAAAUUGCCCAGUCGAGGGGGAUAACAGUUGGAAACGACUGCUAAUACCGCAUACGCCUACGGGGGAAAGCAGGGGACCUUCGGGCCUUGCGCGAUUGGAUAUGCCCAGGUGGGAUUAGCUAGUUGGUGAGGUAAUGGCUCACCAAGGCGACGAUCCCUAGCUGGUCUGAGAGGAUGAUCAGCCACACUGGAACUGAGACACGGUCCAGACUCCUACGGGAGGCAGCAGUGGGGAAUAUUGCACAAUGGGGGAAACCCUGAUGCAGCCAUGCCGCGUGUGUGAAGAANGCCUUCGGGUUGUAAAGCACUUUCAGCGAGGAGGAAAGGUCAGUAGCUAAUAUCUGCUGACUGUGACGUUACUCGCAGAAGAAGCACCGGCUUACUCCGUGCCAGCAGCCGCGGUAAUACGGAGGGUGCAAG
RNAcentral lists this ribosomal RNA (496 nucleotides) under Aeromonas caviae. RNAcentral's name for it is "bacterial SSU rRNA". It matches the Rfam family "Bacterial small subunit ribosomal RNA", at positions 54 to 538 of the family's 1533-position model. Lineage: Bacteria; Pseudomonadati; Pseudomonadota; Gammaproteobacteria; Aeromonadales; Aeromonadaceae. The record is from RNAcentral.